This 465-nucleotide long non-coding RNA is filed under the name Glycine max (soybean). RNAcentral describes it as "long non-coding RNA (GMAX_LNC000901)". The record is from RNAcentral. Lineage: Eukaryota; Viridiplantae; Streptophyta; Magnoliopsida; Fabales; Fabaceae.
GCUCCCAACACACAACCCUGAUGCACCCGUUAUGUUGGACCGUAUAUUGCGCCUCUUGGCUUGCUACAAUAUCCUCUCUUUUUCUCUUCGCACUCUCCCUCAUGGCAAGGUUGAGAGGCUCUAUGGUCUCGCCCCUGUUGCUAAGUACUUGGUCAGGAACGAAGAUGGUGUCUCCAUUGCUGCUCUCAACCUCAUGAACCAGGACAAAAUCCUCAUGGAAAGCUGGUAUCUCACUUUUUCUCACUCUUUGUCUUUAUCUUUUCCAUGAACUGAAUUCCAUAUUCUAAAAUUUGCCGAUUGUCAUCUUUUUUUAUUUUAGGAAGAUUACAUUUAGUAGGCAUGCCUAUGUUUUAGGAAGAUUGUUUUGUUAUGGGAGCAAUAGAAGGGAAGAAAAGAAAAGGGAGAGUAAGGGUAUCAGGGAAGUUAAACCUUUUACUGAGAGUUGAAAGUUAAAAUAAAAGGAAC